This 148-nucleotide non-coding RNA is filed under the name Pan troglodytes (chimpanzee). The record is from Rfam by way of RNAcentral. Lineage: Eukaryota; Metazoa; Chordata; Mammalia; Primates; Hominidae.
GCCAGGCGUGGUGGCAUGCGCCUGUAAUCCCAGCUACUUGGGAGGCUGAGGCAGGAGAAUCGCUUGAACCUGGGAGGCAGAGGGUGCAGUGAGCUGAGAUCAUGCCACUGCACUCCAGCCUAGGUGACAGGGCGAGACUCCGUCUCAA